RNAcentral lists this ribosomal RNA (512 nucleotides) under Hafnia alvei. Its description in RNAcentral is "bacterial SSU rRNA". It matches the Rfam family "Bacterial small subunit ribosomal RNA", at positions 20 to 521 of the family's 1533-position model. Lineage: Bacteria; Pseudomonadati; Pseudomonadota; Gammaproteobacteria; Enterobacterales; Hafniaceae. The record is from RNAcentral.
UGGCUCAGAUUGAACGCUGGCGGCAGGCCUAACACAUGCAAGUCGAGCGGUAGCACAAGAGAGCUUGCUCUCUGGGUGACGAGCGGCGGACGGGUGAGUAAUGUCUGGGAAACUGCCUGAUGGAGGGGGAUAACUACUGGAAACGGUAGCUAAUACCGCAUGACGUCUUCGGACCAAAGUGGGGGACCUUCGGGCCUCACGCCAUCAGAUGUGCCCAGAUGGGAUUAGCUAGUAGGUGGGGUAAUGGCUCACCUAGGCGACGAUCUCUAGCUGGUCUGAGAGGAUGACCAGCCACACUGGAACUGAGACACGGUCCAGACUCCUACGGGAGGCAGCAGUGGGGAAUAUUGCACAAUGGGCGCAAGCCUGAUGCAGCCAUGCCGCGUGUAUGAAGAAGGCCUUCGGGUUGUAAAGUACUUUCAGCGAGGAGGAAGGCAUUAAGGUUAAUAACCUUAGUGAUUGACGUUACUCGCAGAAGAAGCACCGGCUAACUCCGUGCCAGCAGCCGCGGU